GAAAUGCGAUAAGUAAUGUGAAUUGCAGAAUUCAGUGAAUCAUCGAAUCUUUGAACGCACAUUGCGCCCGCCAGUAUUCUGGCGGGCAUGCCUGUUCGAGCGUCAUUUCAACCAUCAAGCCCCCCGGCUUGUGUUGGGGACCUGCGGCUGCCGCAGGCCCUGAAAAGCAGUGGCGGGCUCGCUGUCACACCGAGCGUAGUAGCAUACAUCUCGCUCUGGGCGUGCUGCGGGUUCCGGCCGUUAAACCACCUUCGUAACCCAAGGUUGACCUCGGAUCAGGUAGAAAGACCCGCUGAACUUAAGC
RNAcentral lists this unclassified non-coding RNA (304 nucleotides) under plant metagenome. RNAcentral's name for it is "partial contains 5.8S ribosomal RNA, internal transcribed spacer 2, and large subunit ribosomal RNA". The stretch from base 1 to 105 matches the Rfam family "5.8S ribosomal RNA", at positions 50 to 154 of the family's 154-position model. The record is from RNAcentral.